AACGUAGGAGGCGAGCGUUAUCCGGAUUCACUGGGCGUAAAGCGCCAGUAGGUGGUUCGCCAAGUCGCGUGUGUAAGCCCCUGGCUCAACUGGGGGAGGUCAUGCGAAACUGGUGGACUGGAGGACCGCAGAGGCGAGUGGAACUCCCGGUGUAGCGGUGGAAUGCGUAGAGAUCGGGAAGAACACCCGUGGCGAAGGCGACUCGCUGGGCGGUUACUGACACUGAGAGGCGAAAGCGUGGGGAGCAAAC
Molecule: ribosomal RNA, 250 nt
Filed under: uncultured bacterium
Lineage: Bacteria
Description: partial 16S ribosomal RNA
Rfam family: Bacterial small subunit ribosomal RNA
Source: RNAcentral